UCAGUGGUUAAGAGCUAUACUGCCUUAGUU
This 30-nucleotide non-coding RNA is filed under the name Mus musculus (house mouse). Lineage: Eukaryota; Metazoa; Chordata; Mammalia; Rodentia; Muridae. The record is from RNAcentral.